UUUGAUAGUACUGUUGGUCCCA
This 22-nucleotide non-coding RNA is filed under the name Arabidopsis thaliana (thale cress). Lineage: Eukaryota; Viridiplantae; Streptophyta; Magnoliopsida; Brassicales; Brassicaceae. The record is from RNAcentral.